UGGCGGAGUGUUGGAAUUGGUAGACAUAUGGCACUUAAAAUGCUAUGUCCGUACGGGCGUGGUGGGUUCGAGUCCCCCCUCCGCUACCAU
RNAcentral lists this transfer RNA (90 nucleotides) under Bacillus phage vB_BspM_MarvelLand. Its description in RNAcentral is "tRNA-Leu". It matches the Rfam family "tRNA". Rfam says of the family: Transfer RNA (tRNA) molecules are approximately 80 nucleotides in length. Their secondary structure includes four short double-helical elements and three loops (D, anti-codon, and T loops). The record is from RNAcentral. Lineage: Duplodnaviria; Heunggongvirae; Uroviricota; Caudoviricetes; Herelleviridae.